AACGAACGCUGGCGGCAUGCCUAACACAUGCAAGUCGAACGAAGCCUUCGGGCUUAGUGGCGCACGGGGUGCGUAACGCGUGGGAAUCUGCCCCUCGGUUCGGAAUAACAGGUUAGAAAUGACUGCUAAUACCGGAUGAUGACGAAAGUCCAAAGAUUUAUCGCCGAGGGGAUGAGCCCGCGUAGGAUUAGCUUGUUGGUGGGGUAAUGGCCCACCAAGGCGACGAUCCUUAGCUGGUCUGAGAGGAUGAUCAGCCACACUGGGACUGAGACACGGCCCAGACUCCUACGGGAGGCAGCGGUGGGGAAUAUUGGACAAUGGGCGAAAGCCUGAUCCAGCAAUGCCGCGUGAGUGAUGAAGGCCUUAGGGUUGUAAAGCUCUUUUACCAGGGAUGAUAAUGACAGUACCUGGAGAAUAAGCUCCGGCUAACUCCGUGCCAGCAGCCGCGGUAAU
This 453-nucleotide ribosomal RNA is filed under the name uncultured bacterium. RNAcentral describes it as "bacterial SSU rRNA". It matches the Rfam family "Bacterial small subunit ribosomal RNA", at positions 29 to 524 of the family's 1533-position model. The record is from RNAcentral.